This 70-nucleotide transfer RNA is filed under the name Streptomyces noursei. Its description in RNAcentral is "tRNA-OTHER". It matches the Rfam family "tRNA". From Rfam's summary of the family: Transfer RNA (tRNA) molecules are approximately 80 nucleotides in length. Their secondary structure includes four short double-helical elements and three loops (D, anti-codon, and T loops). The record is from RNAcentral. Lineage: Bacteria; Bacillati; Actinomycetota; Actinomycetes; Kitasatosporales; Streptomycetaceae.
GGCCCCGUAGCUCAAUGGGAGAGCGCCCUACCGACGGUCGGGGGUGCCGGUUCGAUUCCGGCCGGGGUCG